GUUUCCUCUUCAGUCACACAAACACCAGGAGACACAAACACAGACACUGUCAGAGCGACUUUACCAGCAGUAACAGUCAUGAGUUCAGCUCUGUAUCUGGUCCUGCUUUUCUCAGCUCUGUGGACUCUCUCC
Pygocentrus nattereri (red-bellied piranha) is the source of this 132-nucleotide long non-coding RNA. RefSeq lists it as uncharacterized. The transcript is spliced from 3 exons. Lineage: Eukaryota; Metazoa; Chordata; Actinopteri; Characiformes; Serrasalmidae. The record is from RefSeq and is a predicted model, not a curated record.